CCUACGGGCGGCUGCAGUGGGGAAUAUUGGACAAUGGGGGGAACCCUGAUCCAGCCAUGCCGCGUGUGUGAAGAAGGCCCUUGGGUUGUAAAGCACUUUCAGUGAGGAAGAACGCCUGGUGGUUAAUACCCAUCAGGAAAGACAUCACUCACAGAAGAAGCACCGGCUAACUCCGUGCCAGCAGCCGCGGUAAUACGGAGGGUGCGAGCGUUAAUCGGAAUUACUGGGCGUAAAGCGCGCGUAGGUGGCUUGAUAAGCCGGUUGUGAAAGCCCCGGGCUCAACCUGGGAACGGCAUCCGGAACUGUCAAGCUAGAGUGCAGGAGAGGAAGGUAGAAUUCCCGGUGUAGCGGUGAAAUGCGUAGAGAUCGGGAGGAAUACCAGUGGCGAAGGCGGCCUUCUGGACUGACACUGACACUGAGGUGCGAAAGCGUGGGUAGCAAACAGGAUUAGAUACCCCGGUAGUC
Molecule: ribosomal RNA, 465 nt
Filed under: Vreelandella stevensii
Lineage: Bacteria; Pseudomonadati; Pseudomonadota; Gammaproteobacteria; Oceanospirillales; Halomonadaceae
Description: partial 16S ribosomal RNA
Rfam family: Bacterial small subunit ribosomal RNA
Source: RNAcentral